This 7971-nucleotide unclassified non-coding RNA is filed under the name Ooceraea biroi (clonal raider ant). Its description in RNAcentral is "potassium channel subfamily T member 2, transcript variant X15". Lineage: Eukaryota; Metazoa; Arthropoda; Insecta; Hymenoptera; Formicidae. The record is from RNAcentral.
CGAGAAAACGACGAUUAUACUCUGUGCGAGGAUAGUAGGCCGAGAGAGAAAGGGAGACGUGACGGGAACGCGAGAGUGCGCUUGAUGAUGCCAGGCUAGAGAGAAAGGGUGGAAACAUGGGGGGAGCGGAAGGCGGAAGGCCGACCGCGAGGGGGUGGUGUGCGAGAGAAAACCGCUAGCGUGUACUGCAGUACGGGAUAGUGAGCUGCCAGCUAGCCUCCUCUCUCACACCGUGAAAAAGCCGCCAUCGGUCGAGCAAUCGUACGACUGUACAGCUGUUCGCUUUCAGCCGUUCGUUCCACCCCCUUCACGGCACAGAUCGUUUACGAGGGUGUUCGAUCGACGGAGUCUGUUGUGUGUCUAGUUCAUCCUGCGGUGUUGUACAUGUGUGCGUGCAUGAUAGACAUUGGAUUCGCGCGCGUGAUCGUUCGCGAGGUUGCUUCGGGCCUCUUCAGGGUGUGAUCUGGUGAUAUCGCUCCGCAAAAGCCAGCGGCUCCGACAUCCUCGUCGAAUGUCAAGGACGAUGCGGCAUUUCACCGUUACCGUAUACCGACACGACACCCGUUAGAUUUUCCCGUUCGGCGACACACGGGGAUUGGAGGAACAAACAGCGACAAACAGCGACGUCGGUUAGGACGUGUUGCGAGUGUUUGAGAGUCGCAACGCCAAAGAGUCCUUCGAUCUUCCCUUGGGAGUUCCCUUAAAUUAAAUCGCGAAACACGUCACUCGCCCUCGUCUCUCGACAUCGCCGAAUUCCUGACAAUGCAGGCGCCUGUUCCCGAGUGCGGCGAGUCGUCGGAGGACGAUGAGGUGGAUAACGAUCCUCCCUCAGUCGCUUCUAGAAGCGACAGCUCAGGAACGUUAUCCUCGUGAGACGCUGCCACCUGUGUCGAAAGUAUUUCUUACGCUCUGAGUGGGUUGAGAGUAUCGCGAAUAUUUAUUAAUAUUCAAACGAGGAGCUUUGAAGCGUCGACACCCAGGGUGUUAUUGACGGAUUUAGAGAACGUUUCUUUGUGCGAAGAAUUGGACACUGCUACAAUAGGGAUUCGAAGAAUUUGCUCUUUGAAGAAGAAUUUAAACGACUGGACAUUUGUUCAGUAACAUUUGGCUGGCACGAGUGGGCUUUGAGGCGAAUAUUUGAAAUGUGAAAAGAUUCUGCAAAAUCUACAAAAAUGUUAUUCAUGCCUGAAGACAAACGCAAAUAAUCGAGUGUUGAUGAUAAGCGAGUUCUCGAGAAAAAAAAUCUUACAAUACUCUGCGCAAGAUAUUGAACGAAGACACGGAGAGACACGGAGAUCUUGUUUCUUUCUAAUCGAAAGCGAUUACGGGCGACAUUGUUUUUGCUGCACCCUGAGGUGCAAUACUCACAUGCAAAAAAGUGAACAACGUUUUUACGUUCUUAGAAAAGUAACUUGCGGAUUUCGUUGUUAUCUGAUGAAGAGUUUAAGUGAUUAAAGUGGUUGUCAAUUGAUAAAAUCUGAAGCACACUUUGAAGUUGUGAAACGGUGCUUUUGUGGAGAUAUAAGGCAAGAUGGAGUUACCCUUGAACCUCGUUGGGUAAUGUCAUCGACAUGUCAAGGAUUGAUCUCUCGAAACUUGCAAAAGAGCGUGUCCUGAUCGUUUUAAGGAUCUGUUGACCGUGACCUUCGGCCACCAUGUGACGUCAUCCGGGUCACGCGGAAACGUAUCGUGCAAACGGGAUGUCUCGAGACGCUAUUGUUGCCGCCGUCGUGGCGGCGGUAGCGGCGAUCAAUUAAAGUGUCGAUGUGCACUUGCGAGACCUUGUUUUAUAGUCUCGAGAAUUCUUUUCGUGAGACAGACAUCGCGAGUACAAUCUACUUCGCGAAAGAAAGAAAAUACAUCUGGAAUGAAUGACAAUGGACAGUGCAUAGUUUCGUUUCGAUGUUUCAAUAAUAAUAACUUUUAUUGCUCUUGUUAGGCGAGUAUUUGUGCUCAUUGAUAGUUCACAUAAGUAGUUGAUAACAUAAAAUAUAUAUAUAAAGCAACAAGAUCUCAAAAUGUCGCUUUCAUGAAAAGCAAUCGCUCAAAUCGAAUGUUGGAAAAUGCUUCUAACUUUCAGUCGCAAAUUAUAAAAAGUACAAGGCGAAAGUGCGCUCACGUGUUAAAUUUGAUUUCAGAUGUUUUCGUGGAACGUUUCCAGAGCGAAACACGAAUCAAUACAAAACGAUUCCAAGUAAAUCGUCGAAUACGCUUCUCCUUUCAUAAUUGCGCAAGAUGCGUUAAUGCGCUUACACAAUAUUACUGUUAUUUACGAUAAAUCGUUACUGUUAUCUAGGGAUAAUUAUAGCACUCAACGCGAGUGUCACUUGAUGUUAAAAGAGGUUGCGCAAUAUCGAGCUUCGUGAAAUUUCUCUUUUAGCUAAUAUAAGCUUAAAAGCAAUCAGGCAGGAUAAGAAACCUCAAGUUACUCAUUCUGUGCUCAAUUGUUGUUUAUAAAUUAUCUGACCCGCGCUUUUUGAUGUAUUUUCGGUAACCAAGACCGACGUGAAAAUCAUCAGCCUCACAUAACUUAAUAAUAAAUCAAUAUUUCAUUAAUAACUCAUGUUUGCUAUGCUGCACUGUUAAUUACAAGAAACUUGUUGAGAUUCAUUGGAAUUUAAAAUUUUGAGAAAAGCUGCUUUUAAAAAGCGGUUAUAAAAAUCAUAAGGAUCAUCGGCGGAACUACUCACAAAGUAUUUUGGCAAUUUUUAUGAAUAUUGUUGAUGUUAAGAACAUAUGGUAAAUAGCAUGAAGUAUAGUGGCCCGUGAUAAUUUUCAACCUUUCUAACAAGAAGGAAGUUUACUUUAGUCAAGUGAAACUAUCUUGCAAAGUCGCGUUCGCAAGUAUUGUCUUCCAUCAUAUCGUUCUCGGAAGAAGAGAGAAAUUGGAGAGCAAGUAACCCUCUUACGCUCGAGAAACCACUCACAAAUUCCUCUUGAUGCAAAUUUAAUCAGCAGGUUGCGGACAGAACCGAAAUUAUUCAGAUCGUUUGAGGAUCCUUUUCACUGCGACACACAAGUGGAACGCACGAAAUUGCUUUCGCGGCUUCUUCGACAAAUUAUUUUUGCUCCAUUACUCGUGGCCGAGCGUUUCCACUUGCUUCCCUAAGGAUGACGAAACUCCUUGGCUAGAUUGCAAUGACGAGUCGUCACGAGUAGCAGAACUUCACAAGCUGUUGCGUGCGUUUCCUUCAUAACCACGUUAUUUGCUGCGAUAUAUUUAACGAGCAGUAUACUCCUCUCAUUGGAUCUAUCUCGGAGUCUACUUUCUUUGAAGCGUAAAAGCUAAAUUUUUUUGCUAAUUUGCUAUAUCGAACCUCGAAUUUAUUGUGAGAGAGACUUCCUCUUAAACAUCCUUCUAAUCAAGAUAAUAAUAAAUGCGCAAGACAUACACUUGCACAGUGAAACAAAUGAUCGUACAAGAUCAAUACUAUUCGAAACGUAGAAAAUAUUUGAGAUAUUAUAAAUUGCGGGAACAUCUACGUUAUACUAGCAAGCAAGAGCAUCAGAAUCAUAAAAAAAGAGACACGAUGCACAAGUCUAUCUUUUAUAAUAAGUCAAUUGAUCACGCCAUUACGCGACAAUGGACAACUGGAAUCUCUUCAAGAUGUUUGACAAGGAUUCAUCGAUUCUUCUUGCCCGACGAUUGUGCGUUUAUCUGACUUUGCUCAUUGUGUCUGCUGGUACGUGAUUGUUUUUAACAUAGAGUGUGAUCAGAGAGAGACUCGUGGCGAUGUGGUCGAAGGGACGAUGUGGCCGAACGUCGUCGGCAGAACUCGGAAGUCCCGCGAUUGCCUCAAGGUGAAGUUACCGGCAGCGAAGAAGAAAAGGAAAAAGAACGAGUCGGUGUGCUGUAAGCUUCUCGCCCUGUUACAUAAUCGCAAGCCUCGGGAUCCGGUUCGUGGCCUCAGCGCCGCCUCGUCGGUGCCCCUGCUCGAUAUGGGCGCCAGAGCAUGGGACUACGAGGCCCUGCCGGAGCUCCACACCUCGACAGCGGUCACGCCGACCUCGACGCCACCGAACGCGUCCCAACAAAAAGUGCCCAAGGUGUAUUUUCAAGCAGAGAAUCUGGCGUCCACCAGGCGGAGGAGCAGCAGUAAAUUGCUGGGGCCGCAGCAAUCUUGCAGGAGACGCAGCAGGAGUAUGAGCGCGUGGAGCGAUCUGUCCAGGUCGUCCUUCAGGUUGGAAGAAAGAGUUCGUGUUGAGUACUAUGUGAACGAGAACACGUUCAAGGAGCGGCUACAACUGUACUUCAUCAAGAACCAACGUUCGAGCUUGAGGAUACGAGUUGCCAAUCUCUUUUUCAAGCUGCUAACAUGCUUCCUGUAUAUAUUCAGAGUUAUUAUCGACAACGAUCCGACGUAUGCAGCAUGUUACGGUUGCUCCCCCGGCAACAAGACGGAGUUCCUCGCGUCGCAGAACUUGACGGAAGAGGAGUUCCAGGAGCAUCCGACCAUCAACUGGGAUGCAAUCCUCUGGGUCAGACGACCUCUGGAGUUGUGGGUGAUCCAAGUGAUCCUGGCAAUAGUGUCGCUGACCGAGGCCUUGCUGCUCGCCUAUCUCGGUUACAAGGGAAAUAUCUGGCAGCAGCUAUCCUUCCACUUCAUUCUGGAACUGCUCAACACAAUCCCGUUCACUAUCACGUUAUUACACCCACCAAUGAGAAAUCUGUUCAUUCCGGUGUUCCUAAAUUGCUGGUUGGCGAAACAUUCCCUGGAGAAUCUCUUCAACGACCUGCACAGAGCGAUGCAGAAAUCCCAGUCGGCGUUGAGUCAGCAGCUGAUGAUCCUUAGUGCUACGUUACUGUGCCUUGUCUUUACUAGCGUAUGCGGGAUCCAGCACUUUCAGAGAGCGGGGCACAGGCAUUUGAAUCUAUUUCAAAGCACAUAUUACGUCGUGGUGACGUUCUCCACGGUGGGCUACGGGGAUUUCGUGCCGGAUAUUUGGCCGUCGCAACUUUACAUGGUUAUCAUGAUCUGCGUGGCGCUCAUAGUGCUACCGACGCAGUUUGAACAGUUGGCUUUCACGUGGAUGGAGCGGCAGAAGCUGGGUGGUUCGUAUUCGUCGCACAGAGCGCAAAGCGAGAAGCACGUGGUAGUUUGCAGCACGACGUUACAAGCGGAUACCAUCAUGGACUUUCUAAAUGAGUUCUACGCCCAUCCUUUACUGCAGGAUUAUUACGUGGUGCUUUUAUCGCCAAUGGAGCUUGAUACCACAAUGCGGAUGAUCCUGCAAGUGCCGAUCUGGGCACAGAGAGUAAUUUACAUACAGGGCUCGUGCCUGAAGGAUGGCGAUCUCGCCAGAGCCAGGAUGAAUGAGGCGGAAGCCUGCUUCGUUCUGGCAGCGAGAAAUUACGCCGACAAAACCGCUGCUGACGAGCACACGAUACUCAGAUCAUGGGCGGUGAAAGAUUUCGCGCCCAAUGUUCCUCAAUACGUUCAAAUCUUCCGUCCGGAAAACAAACUUCACGUCAAAUUCGCGGAGCACGUGGUUUGCGAAGAUGAGUUUAAGUACGCCCUUUUAGCGAACAACUGCACGUGUCCCGGCGCUUCGACAUUGGUUACACUGUUGCUGCACACGUCUAGAGGACAAGAAGGUCAACAGUCGCAGGAGGAGUGGCACAGGCUAUACGGUAAAUGUUCCGGCAACGAGAUUUAUCACAUAAUUCUCGGUGACUCCCGCUUUUUCGGGGAAUACGAGGGAAAAUCCUUCACCUACGCGUCCUUCCAUAGUCACCGGAAAUACGGAGUUGCACUUGUCGCAGUCAGGCCGGCGGAACUUCCGGAAUUUUACGAGGACACCAUCCUGCUGAAUCCUGGACCGCGGCAUAUAAUGAAAAAGACCGAUACCUGCUACUACAUGAGCAUCACCAAAGAGGAGAACUCGGCGUUCGUGGUCGCGAAUAACCAGUGCGGCGUCGCCGGUGAGGGUACUCAAGUGAUCGUCGAGACGAAGACAGACAUGACGUCCGCGAGCAACGGAUCGACGGCAAAUACCACGACGACGAAUACCACCGCGGCGAUCAUGAAUUCCAUGGGGGCGACGUCGGCGACGACCACCACCACUACCACCACGACGAUAUCGACCAGUUGCAUCGGCGGUGGCGGCGAUGGGAACGGUACAGCAAUCAGCAACGGUGCCGACGCGCACCAGCGAUUUUCCAACAGUUGUAACGUUGCGCUGAGCGAAACACUCCGCAGGCAGGAGACCUGCACGGGGCCCCGUGCGCAGGACCGGUCGAACGGUCACCAAGGUCACAGGGCCCCGUUGCCACCGCAGGUUAUUUUGCAGGUCCUCCCUAGCACGCCCACACCAAUCCAACACCACAACUUACUCGCAUCCGAUGUCCACCCGAGUUAUCUUGAUCCCGGAGGAUUCGGAGAUUCGAGGCAAUGCUUGAAAGAAGGAGGAUCAACGCCACAAACACCAAUUACUGGAAAUCAUUUAGACGUGCCACGAUCUCUCGAUCCGAAUCCCAAUCUGCUUAGUCCAGAAAUUUUAACCCAGAGGAGAGGGAGCAGAAGACCAAGUAUUCUACCAGUACCAGACAUGCUCACUAGUUCGACCCUGCAUUUGCCUGGCCAGGAAUCCUUGGACCACGAAGGUGACGAAUCCGAGGACGAAAUGGAUGAUGACGUUCCCUGGAGAUCGCCAAGCGAGAAGAUCGCCUUCAAAGGGAUCGUCAAGGGAUUUCCGCCGGUUUCCCCGUUCAUUGGAGUUUCGCCGACAUUAUGCUACCUCCUCAAGGAGAAAAAGCCACUCUGUUGCCUUCAGCUGGCUCAGGUGUGCCAACAUUGCAGCUACAGAAACGCCAAAGAGUACAAUUGGCAGAAUAAGACCAUCAUUCUGGCCGCGGAUUACGCUAGCAAUGGGAUUUACAACUUUAUAAUACCAUUAAGGGCACACUUUAGGUCGAAAACAUCAUUGAAUCCGAUUAUCCUUUUGCUGGAGAGAAAACCAGAAAUCGCGUUUCUCGACGCGGUGUCCUAUUUUCCAUUGGUCUACUGGAUGCGCGGCUCCAUCGACUGCCUGGAUGAUCUCCUCCGGGCCGGCAUCACUUUGGCGGAAAACGUCGUAGUCGUAAACAAGGAACUUAACAAUUCUGCUGAGGAGGAUACCCUAGCUGAUUGCAACACGAUCGUUGCAGUACAGACUAUGUUCAAAUUUUUCCCAAGCAUAAAAAGCAUAACGGAGCUGUCCCAGUCGAGCAAUAUGCGCUUCAUGCAGUUCCGGGCGCACGACAAGUACGCUUUGCAUCUCAGCAAAAUGGAAAAGGUACUCCUCAGUGCUACUACCGAUGACAACCACCCCGAUGAGCCUCCGAUGGGCUCCCCGAGGGAAAAGGAACGAGGAUCUCACAUAUCGUACAUGUUUCGAUUGCCGUUUGCCGCCGGUAGUGUUUUCAGCGCCUCGAUGUUGGAUACGUUGCUUUAUCAAGCGUUUGUUAAAGAUUACGUAAUCACUUUUGUGAGACUAUUAUUGGGGGUAGACCAAGCGCCGGGCUCUGGAUUUCUCACGUCGAUGCGCAUAACGAAGGACGAUAUGUGGAUAAGGACGUACGGCAGAUUGUAUCAGAAACUCUGCUCGACCACUUGCGAAAUCCCGAUCGGAAUAUACAGGACGCAGGACACCACCAUAUCCGACUCCUCACAUCAGGGCGACUCAGACGCGGAAAGCGACGCCGGCGUCGGUGUGACGUACAAGGUGCGUCAUUCGGCGGCAGCAUCGUGCCUUGCAAAUUGCGCUACCCGCGACAAGGGUGCAUCUGCUUUUUAAGGUCAAUCGAUUGUGGCGUUCAACCGAUAUCGAAAAUGUGGCUGUAACAGUGGUGGUAACAGCCUUUGUAACACCUUGAAAGCUGCGUGCGUUAAGCCACUUGUUGCAUGUGUACUCGGUGAGCCUCGGCGAUGAGGCGCGCGACAACCACGCGCAGCAGAUUGAGCGGGCGGAGAUCGCAAAUCUGGUGCGCUC